This 253-nucleotide ribosomal RNA is filed under the name uncultured bacterium. RNAcentral describes it as "partial 16S ribosomal RNA". It matches the Rfam family "Bacterial small subunit ribosomal RNA", at positions 524 to 776 of the family's 1533-position model. The record is from RNAcentral.
UACGUAGGGUGCGAGCGUUGUCCGGAAUUAUUGGGCGUAAAGAGCGCGUAGGCGGUCCGAUAAGUCUGCUGUGAAAGUCCAGGGCUCAACCCUGGAAUGCCAGUGGAUACUGUCGGGCUAGAGUACGGAAGAGGCGAGUGGAAUUCCUGGUGUAGCGGUGGAAUGCGCAGAUAUCAGGAGGAACACCGAUGGCGAAGGCAGCGCGCUGGGACGGUACUGACGCUGAGGCGCGAAAGCGUGGGGAGCGAACAGG